Peromyscus eremicus (cactus mouse) is the source of this 1216-nucleotide long non-coding RNA. RefSeq lists it as uncharacterized. Lineage: Eukaryota; Metazoa; Chordata; Mammalia; Rodentia; Cricetidae. The transcript is spliced from 3 exons. The record is from RefSeq and is a predicted model, not a curated record.
AGCUUCUGUCCUGUGUCUCUCGGGAACCUGCCACCCAUCACUGGUCCCUGGGAUAGCUCCUGUCAUCACCACCAUCCACCUCUCACCCUGGAGACUACACAAUUGCCGCCUCGUCUCCGCUCCAGGUAGCCAGGGCUUUAGAAACUGUUAUUUUAUCGGGUGAGAGAUUUGGAGAAAGGUUUACCGAAAGGAUGAGCAGCCCCCACCCAAAGGCACAGACGACAAGAAAGACACAUCGUCUCAACCUCCACCCCUCCGAAGUCGGCCGGCGACCGGGAGCACCGGAGUCGCGACUCCCCAAGAUGAAGAGCGCGGAGAGCCGCUCCCCGGUGCCAGUCCCGGCUAAGGCAGCAGCGCUCGUUAGCGGAUAAAGGGGAGAAGGUCACAGACGCAACCCCUGAGGAGCCAAGGGACGCGGGCAGCCAGCCUAUUCAGGGGCGGGUCCCUCGGCCCUCCCGCGGGGAGCUCGGCUUCUAAGAGGCUUCCAAGGGGCCGGGGCUUCCUCAGGCCUCCGCCUGCCGUCCACCGGGAGCCGGCAGCCGGCAGCCCUACUCGGCGGGCGGCCCGGGAACGGCCCCGAGCGGCCGGGCUGGGCCAGCCGAGCACACACACGGGAGGUCCAGAUGGUGAAAGAGGAAGCGUUACCGUACGCGGGUCGGGAGCUGGCGGCGGUGGGGUGCGGCUCCAGCGCCCGGCACCUGGCUGCCCAGCGGCUGCGGUAGCCGCGUCCUUUAUAUUUUUGCUGCAGCGGCGGCGACUUGUCAAAGGGAAAGACAUUCUUAGGUGCUGAGAUUACAAGCGUGUGCCCACAUCCAGCUGUUUUACUUUGUUGUUUGUAGUAUCUGUGACCUAACUCAGAGUUCUUGACCCUGCUCAGCAAGGCUAUGGAGGAGGAAACCUAAAAGGUAAUUGAUCUGCCAAAAAGGUUUGAAAGGAAGCAGAGACACAAAAAUAGGACCCAAGAUUGGCAAGCACUUCUUUUAGAAAUGAGAUUCCUUCUUGUUGCAUACAAAGCGUACAGAGUUCCUAACUGGACUCUAUUCUCAGUGAAAUAACACUCCUGUCAGGACAACCCUCUAAAUAAUAGUAAAAACUUCCUUUACAGGACAUUGCCUAAGCCUGGAAUACAAUAAUCAUUUUUACUUUUGGUUAAAAUAUGAUUUUGCUAUUUCUUUUGGGUUUUGAAGGAGGGCGGGGUUUCAUGAAGCCUAGGCUA